CCGGAUGCCCUGGCAGAGCCGCACCGGACAAAGCGGCUCCGCCCCACUACCCC
This 53-nucleotide non-coding RNA is filed under the name unclassified sequences. Its description in RNAcentral is "RAGATH-5 RNA". It matches the Rfam family "RAGATH-5 RNA". The record is from RNAcentral.